GUGGUCUACUCUCAAAUGUGAGGAAGUAACAAAGGCACAUUGUCCUCCAGAUCUACUCCCUGCAUGUGUUCAGGUGGUGAAAUUGACUGUGGGAAAGCUUCAGUGGAUUGAUAUGAAUCACAAAGAGUAUAACAUAAGGGUACCAAGAAAAAUAUGCAGGUAAAAGAUAUUUGCCCUACUCUAGCCCUUUGGCCUAAUGAAGACCCUUUCUUUCCUGCAAGAAGUUUAAGAACUGAAUUCAUAUAAGGAAUUUUAAGAACAUCUCUCAAAAAGAUGAAACCCAC
RNAcentral lists this long non-coding RNA (284 nucleotides) under Gallus gallus (chicken). The record is from RNAcentral. Lineage: Eukaryota; Metazoa; Chordata; Aves; Galliformes; Phasianidae.